Molecule: small RNA, 497 nt
Filed under: Pan troglodytes (chimpanzee)
Lineage: Eukaryota; Metazoa; Chordata; Mammalia; Primates; Hominidae
Description: retained intron
Source: RNAcentral
GCGGCCGCCGGGAGGGCGCGCGGCGCCGGAGACAUGUCCAGGAGGAAACAGAGCAACCCCCGGCAGAUCAAGCGUUCCCUCGGAGACAUGGAGGCCGGAGAGGAGGUGCAGUUGGUGGGUGCCAGCCACACGGAGCAAAAGGCCAUAGCCCCUGAAGCCCCGAGCCCUCCCAGCGCCGAUGUUAACUCACCCCCACCGCUGCCACCCCCCACAUCCCCAGGAGGCCCCAAGGAGCUGGAAGGACAGGAACCAGAACCCAGGCCCACGGAGGAAGAGCCGGGCAGUCCCUGGAGCGGGCCAGGUAACCACGCGGGUGGUGGGGGCAGCAGCAUCGCCUCCCGGGCAGCCUGGCCUGGCCCCUGGGAGCAGGGCGACGUGGGUGCUGGGGCAGGUGUGUAGGUUGCUGGAGACCCACCAGGCCCAGGCCUGUGCCUAGUCCAAAGCUCAGCCAACCCGUGCAGCUGGUGGUAUCGCUGGAGCUUGGCACCCUCGCGCCA